Molecule: ribosomal RNA, 468 nt
Filed under: uncultured bacterium
Lineage: Bacteria
Description: partial 16S ribosomal RNA
Rfam family: Bacterial small subunit ribosomal RNA
Source: RNAcentral
GACGAACGCUGGCGGCGUGCUUAACACAUGCAAGUCGAACGGAAAGGCCCUGCUUUUGUGGGGUGCUCGAUUGGCGAACGGGUGAGUAACACGUGAGUAACCUGCCCCUGUCUUUGGGAUAACUUCAGGAAACUGGGGCUAAUACCGGAUAUGAGCUCCUGCUGCAUGGGGGGGGUUGGUAAGUUUCGGCGGUUGGGGAUGGACUCGAGGCUUAUGAGCUGGUUGGUGGAGUAGGGGCUUACCAGGGCUUUGACGGGUAGCCGGCCUGAGAGGGUGACCGGCCACCUUGGUACUGCGAUACGGACCAGAAGCGUACGGUACGCAGCGGUGGGGAAUAUUGCACAAUGGGGGCACGCCUGAGGUAGCGACGCCGCGUGCGGGAUGCCCGCCUUCGAGUGGAAAACCGCUUUCGACUGUGACGAAGCGUGCGUGACGGUAAUGGGUAAAAAAGCACCGGCUAACUACGUG